AUAACAUGCAUCAUCAUUGCCAUCUCUCUUAUAAACUUAUGCAUUGAUAGUAUUUUUUGAUUUUUUAUACCAAUAAAAUUGUUAGUAUUACUAUAUGUAUAAAUUUUCAAUGUUUAUACUAAUAAAAUUGUUACUAUCCCCUUUUGUUGCAAAUUUUGGAUUUUGAUUGCAGGUGGGGGUUCUGUGGCCAAAAGGGUGAUUGGGUUUGUGGCAAAGGCCACCUUGAAUUCCGUUGAGGGCAUUUUGGCUAACAACAAGUCCAACAACAACCCCAUUGCUGUUAUUGACAACCAUGACAGCUUCACCUGUAAUCUCUGCCCAGUAUAUGGGGGAGUUAGGGUUUCACUUUGAGGUCUACUAUUAAAUUUUAUAGUGCAGCAAAGGCAUCCGAAAGGUCCCCUUAAAAAUCGGUUCAUAAGGGGGUGGAUUACCCAGCUAUAUAAGCACUUAUCAAGUUUGUUAAACAUCCGAUGUGGAACUAUUCUCAACAUCUACGGCAAUGAUGAGUUGACAGUGGAGGAGUUGAAAAGUAAAAAUUCCAGUGGAGUGCUGAUAUCACCUGGGCCAGGAGAACCUCAAGAUUCUGGCAUAUCUUUGCAAACAGUUUUGGAGCUUGGACCAACUGUGCCAUUGUUUGGUGUGUGCAUGGGUUUGCAGUGCAUUGGAGAGGCUUUUGGAGUCCUUUCUUGGCUGGUAGAUAUCAUAGCCUUGUAAUUGAGAAAGAUAACUUUCCUAAUGAUGAACUUGAGGUUACAGCCUGGACAGAAGAUGGUCUUAUAAUGGCUGCUCGUCAUAAGAAAUAUAAGCAUCCACAGGGAGUUCAGUUUCAUCCAGAGAGCCUUAUAACCCCAGAAGGCUAGACAAUUUGUCCGUAAUUAUGUGAAGCUUAUUGAGAGAAGGGAGGCUGGUGGUUCUUGAAACAAUGUUUGAUGUGUAUAGUUAAAAUUGUGGCUUGACACAACAAACUAAAAUAAAGGAAAGGUAUAAUGACACCUUUGUCAGCAACAGUUUAGAUAAAUCAUAGAAAAUCUUGGUGGGGAAGAACCUUGACCUGAUAUUGAUCCAUUAUUUGAUUCCCCUAAGAUCUAUAAAAGUUUGAUUUUAGUUUCUCCC
Molecule: long non-coding RNA, 1113 nt
Filed under: Glycine max (soybean)
Lineage: Eukaryota; Viridiplantae; Streptophyta; Magnoliopsida; Fabales; Fabaceae
Description: uncharacterized LOC100815590 (LOC100815590)
Source: RNAcentral